Sapajus apella (tufted capuchin) is the source of this 505-nucleotide long non-coding RNA. RefSeq lists it as uncharacterized. The transcript is spliced from 2 exons. The record is from RefSeq and is a predicted model, not a curated record. NCBI's taxonomy places the organism in Eukaryota, Metazoa, Chordata, Mammalia, Primates, Cebidae.
CCACCAUCCCCGCCACAGGAGAUCAGCUGCCGUGUAUGCUGUGCAUAGGAGAGGGCCUGGACUUUGUCGCUGUGAAAGAAACCAAGGUUUGUGCAUGGCUGACAAGUUAUUCCCUCUUGGCAGCAAAAAUGAUGGAGAAUUUAGUUUUAUGGUCUGAGUGAUCACUAACAAUGGAUUUACAGAGAUUCAUUCUCUGUUGGGUGAGAGAAGUUUCUUGAUCUUUUUUUUUUUUUUUUUUGGAGGGGGGAUGUUCAUCUAUUUUGAGCUCAGAUCAAUGAAGAAUUGUGUUUCUACUGGGAAGGAGAACAGCUCUUUGAUAUCUGGACUGGUGAUUUUUUUGUGUUUCUGUUUAUUCUUGAUCUGUGGCUGAAGUUGAAAAACUAAAGCUAUUAAGCUCUGUGUGUCUAUGUGUUUAUAAUCCAGAAAAGCCUUCACCUCUUGCUGUAUGUGGAAUGCUUUCCUACUUGUUGUAGAGGGGGUCAAUACAUUGGAUUAUGAUACCUUU